This 253-nucleotide ribosomal RNA is filed under the name uncultured bacterium. Its description in RNAcentral is "partial 16S ribosomal RNA". It matches the Rfam family "Bacterial small subunit ribosomal RNA", at positions 524 to 776 of the family's 1533-position model. The record is from RNAcentral.
UACGUAGGGGGCUAGCGUUGUCCGGAUUUAUUGGGCGUAAAGAGCGUGUAGGCGGCCAGGUAGGUCUGCUGUGAAAACUCGAGGCUUAACCUCGAGAUGUCGGCGGAAACCAUCUGGCUAGAGUCCGGAAGAGGAGAGUGGAAUUCCUGGUGUAGCGGUGAAAUGCGCAGAUAUCAGGAGGAACACCGGUGGCGAAGGCGGAUCUCUGGGCCGAUACUGACGCUGAGGAGCGAAAGCGUGGGGAGCGAACAGG